Molecule: ribosomal RNA, 674 nt
Filed under: uncultured Tomentella
Lineage: Eukaryota; Fungi; Basidiomycota; Agaricomycetes; Thelephorales; Thelephoraceae
Description: eukaryotic LSU rRNA
Rfam family: 5.8S ribosomal RNA (bases 256-410)
Source: RNAcentral
GGAAGUAAAAGUCGUAACAAGGUUUCCGUAGGUGAACCUGCGGAAGGAUCAUUACCGAAUUGUCAACACGAGUUGUUGCUGGUCCUCAAAACGGGGGCAUGUGCACGCUCUGUUUACACAUCCACUCACACCUGUGCACCCUCUGUAGUUCUGUGGCAUGGGGGACUCUGUCCUCCUGUUGUGGUCCUACGUCUUUACACACACUCUGUAAUAAAGUCUCAUGGAAUGCAUGACGCGUUUAACGCAAUACAAUACAACUUUCAGCAACGGAUCUCUUGGCUCUCGCAUCGAUGAAGAACGCAGCGAAAUGCGAUAAGUAAUGUGAAUUGCAGAAUUCAGUGAAUCAUCGAAUCUUUGAACGCACCUUGCGCCCUUUGGCUAUUCCGAAGGGCAUGCCUGUUUGAGUAUCAUGAACACCUCAACUCUCAUGGUUUGCCGUGAUGAGCUUGGACUUUGGAGGUCUUGCCGGCCUGCGGUCGGCUCCUCUCAAAUGGAUCAGCUUGCCAGUGUUUGGUGGCAUCAUGGGUGUGAUAACUAUCUACACCUGUGGUUUUCCACCGGAUAACCUUCAGUGAUGGAGGUACGCUGGAGCUCAUAAAUGUCUCUCCUCAGUGAAGACAGCUUUUUGAACGUUUGAUCUCAAAUCAGGUAGGACUACCCGCUGAACUUAAGCA